UACAGAGGUCCCAAGCGUUGUUCGGAUUCACUGGGCGUAAAGGGCGCGUAGGCGGUCGGGUAAGUCUGACGUGAAAUCUCCGGGCCUAACCCGGAAACUGCGCCGGAUACAAUCCGGCUAGAGGAUUGGAUGGGAGACUGGAAUACUUGGUGUAGCAGUGAAAUGCGUAGAUAUCAAGUGGAACACCAGUGGCGAAGGCGGGUCUCUGGACAAUUCCUGACGCUGAGGCGCGAAAGCCAGGGGAGCAAACGGG
Molecule: ribosomal RNA, 253 nt
Filed under: uncultured bacterium
Lineage: Bacteria
Description: partial 16S ribosomal RNA
Rfam family: Bacterial small subunit ribosomal RNA
Source: RNAcentral